CCUACGGGAGGCAGCAGUGGGGAAUUUUGGACAAUGGGCGAAAGCCUGAUCCAGCAAUGCCGCGUGAGUGAAGAAGGCCUUCGGGUUGUAAAGCUCUUUUGUCAGGGAAGAAACGGUGGGAGCUAAUAUCUCUUGCUAAUGACGGUACCUGAAGAAUAAGCACCGGCUAACUACGUGCCAGCAGCCGCGGUAAUACGUAGGGUGCAAGCGUUAAUCGGAAUUACUGGGCGUAAAGCGUGCGCAGGCGGUUUUGUAAGUCUGAUGUGAAAUCCCCGGGCUCAACCUGGGAAUUGCAUUGGAGACUGCAAGGCUAGAAUCUGGCAGAGGGGGGUAGAAUUCCACGUGUAGCAGUGAAAUGCGUAGAUAUGUGGAGGAACACCGAUGGCGAAGGCAGCCCCCUGGGUCAAGAUUGACGCUCGAUGCACGAAAGCGUGGGGAGCAAACAGGAUUAGAUACCCUGGUAGUCCACGCCCUAAACGAUGUCUACUAGUUGUCGGGUCUUAAUUGACUUGGUAACGCAGCUACGCGUGAGUAGACCGCCGNGGAGGUACGGUCGCGAGAGUUAAACGUACGAAGUAGAGUUAGACGGACGUGAGACGNGCCGACGGACGACGACGAGGGAGGAGG
Molecule: ribosomal RNA, 627 nt
Filed under: uncultured bacterium
Lineage: Bacteria
Description: bacterial SSU rRNA
Rfam family: Bacterial small subunit ribosomal RNA (bases 1-541)
Source: RNAcentral